GGUUAGACGAAGAACCUAGAUGGGGUAAUGUGUAAAAGUUAAUUAAUGUGAAAUAUAAAAAGUAUAUUAGUAAUCUUUUUCUUUGGGUGAAAUCUUUAUAAAAAGAAAUAUUUUCUUCAGUUAUUAAAAAGAAUUAAAAAAUAAGUAUCAAAAACCAGGAUUAGAUACCCUGCUAUUUCUUAAAAUAUUUUAGUGGGGUAGUAAAAGUUGUUCUUCAAACCCAAAGGUUUUGGCGGCAUUCUAACUAAAUAGAGGAGCUUGUUUUAUAAUCGAUAAUCCCCGUUGAAUCUUACCUCCGCUUGUUAAGCUUGUAUACCUCCGUUGUCAGAUUACUCUAAAAGGAUGUUUUCUAGAAAAAUAAUUUCUUUACUUCAGGUCAAGGUGCAGCCUAUGCGGGGGCAAUGAUGAGCUACAAUUUUUUAAAAAAGACGGAUCUUGGAUGUAAUUUCAGUUGAAGGUGGAUUUAUUAGUAAGUAAAUUUCAGAAAAGUUUACUGAACUUAGCAAUUGCAUGUGUACAUAUCGCCCGUCACUCUCCUUUUAAGAGGAGAUAAGUCGUAACAAA
Molecule: ribosomal RNA, 564 nt
Filed under: Daphnia pusilla
Lineage: Eukaryota; Metazoa; Arthropoda; Branchiopoda; Diplostraca; Daphniidae
Description: partial 12S ribosomal RNA
Source: RNAcentral